Molecule: ribosomal RNA, 806 nt
Filed under: uncultured beta proteobacterium
Lineage: Bacteria; Pseudomonadati; Pseudomonadota; Betaproteobacteria
Description: bacterial SSU rRNA
Rfam family: Bacterial small subunit ribosomal RNA
Source: RNAcentral
CCUGGGAAUGGCGUUUUGAACUGGCAGUCUAGAGUGCGUCAGAGGGGGGUGGAAUUCCACGUGUAGCAGUGAAAUGCGUAGAGAUGUGGAGGAACACCGAUGGCGAAGGCAGCCCCCUGGGAUGACACUGACGCUCAUGUACGAAAGCGUGGGUAGCAAACAGGAUUAGAUACCCUGGUAGUCCACGCCCUAAACGAUGUCAACUGGUUGUUGGGGGAGUGAAAUCCCUUUAGUAACGAAGCUAACGCGUGAAGUUGACCGCCUGGGGCGUACGGUCGCAAGAUUAAAACGCAAAGGAAUUGACGGGGACCCGCACAAGCGGUGGAUGAUGUGGAUUAAUUCGAUGCAACGCGAAAAACCUUACCUACCCUUGACAUGUCCGGAAUCCUGCAGAGAUGCGGGAGUGCCCGAAAGGGAAUCGGAACACAGGUGCUGCAUGGCUGUCGUCAGCUCGUGUCGCGAGAUGUUGGGUUAAGUCCCGCAACGAGCGCAACCCUUAUCAUUAGUUGCUACGCAAGGGCACUCUAAUGAGACUGCCGGUGACAAACCGGAGGAAGGUGGGGAUGACGUCAAGUCCUCAUGGCCCUUAUGGGUAGGGCUUCACACGUCAUACAAUGGUCGGUACAGAGGGUUGCCAAGCCGCGAGGUGGAGCCAAUCCCAGAAAGCCGAUCGUAGUCCGGAUUGUUCUCUGCAACUCGAGAGCAUGAAGUCGGAAUCGCUAGUAAUCGCGGAUCAGCAUGUCGCGGUGAAUACGUUCCCGGGUCUUGUACACACCGCCCGUCCCCCCCAUGGGAACUGGAGAGAG